UACGGGGGGUCCAAGCGUUGUUCGGAAUCACUGGGCGUAAAGCGCAGGUAGGUGGCUUUUUAAGUCUGUUGUGAAAGCCCAGGGCCUAACCCUGGAAGUGCAGCAGAUACUGUUAAGCUUGAGUAUGGGAGAGGAUAGUGGAAUUCUUGGUGUAGUGGUGAAAUACGUAGAUAUCAGGAGGAACACCGGUGGCGAAGGCGGCUAUCUGGCCCAAUACUGACACUGAGCUGCGAAAGCGUGGGGAUCAAACAGG
Molecule: ribosomal RNA, 253 nt
Filed under: uncultured bacterium
Lineage: Bacteria
Description: partial 16S ribosomal RNA
Rfam family: Bacterial small subunit ribosomal RNA
Source: RNAcentral